CCGUAGGCAGCGCGGCGCUCCGAGGGCCCCGAGCCGCGCCGCCAUGGCUGCCCGGGUCGGCUUUGCGCCCGCCGGCGAGGGCCUGCGCUACGCCGGGUCCUUGCAGCCCCCCGCCCAGCCGUCGGAUGCCGACCUCGACCGCGGGCUGGCAAGAAGUUUGAUAGCUGUGGGGCUGGGUAUUGCAGCGCUUGGCUUUGCAGGUCGCUACGCAUUUCAGAUCUGGAAACCUCUAGGACAAGUAAUCACAGAAACUGCGAAGAAGAUUUCAACUCCUAGCUUUUCAUCCUACUACAGAGGAGGAUUUGAACAGAAAAUGAGUAGGCGAGAAGCGAGUCUCAUUUUGGGUGUAAGCCCAUCUGCCAGCAAGGCCAAGAUUAGAGCAGCUCACAGGAGAAUCAUGAUUUUGAAUCACCCAGAUAAAGUCUGCAGACACCCGGUGUUACUCUCGGCUGUAGGAUUUCCGGAGAACUUGCUCUCAGUUUCCACACCUAGUUUAGCUCAGUGACUCUCACGGUGGUUCAGUAACACCCGCACCCCAGCACUGAUCCGCGGAACACAACUCAGGUGGAUCUCCUUACUUAGCAAUCAAAAUUAAUGAAGCAAAAGACUUGCUAGAAGCAACCACCAAACACUGAUGGAUACUCAGGGACCGCUCUGACGGAGAAAAGGGGGACCUUAUGAAUACAGUCCUGCAGAUUAAUGUAGACCAUGGCCUGCGUGAUGUUCAUACAAGUGCUGACCACAGUCGUUUCUUCCGUGACCAAGCUAUGUAAUAAAAAAAGAUGAGCAGUCUGCCUUUGUAUUAUCUUUCAAAGGAGCACAUGAAAAUUCUAGCACUGAUCUUUCCCCCUUAUUUUCUUCCUCCCUCUGAUAGUCAUACAUUUGAAGUCCCCCCUCCCCAGCACCUGCAACAGUGUAGUUAUCAGUAAUAUGAUUGGAAUUUGUGAGCAAGAGUGCAGAAUUUCUUGCUGCUUAUAUUUAUGCUCGCAUUGUCCCUUGUUUCUUCAAAGGAAUUUAGCACUCUGCCUACGUGAGGUGCUUUAAAUGUUUUGAGACGAAACCCUGACUGCCACCCCAGGAAAGUGAUCUGAAGCUUGAUGGAAUUUACAAAAGGGUGUUUUGUAAAGCAGUGGUUAGGAAAGAACACUGCUCUCCCAGAGAUCCCACGGCUGACGCAUGAGAACUUGGAGAGCUGCUAAAAUGAUUAAAGGUUUACAGAAUGAGCCCUGUGAGGAAAGCCUGGAAGUUGCUGGGAGAAGUCUGAGGGAUUCGUACUUAAUUAUAUAGUCUUCUGGUACUGUGUAUUUAUUCAAUUAUUCAUUCUACAAAUAUUUAUUUACCACCUGUAGCCUGUGAAGCACUGUAGGGGUCCUCAAGAGUUCCAGGUGUGAACCAGGCACGGAUCCUGACCCAAAGGAACUUACAUUUAGAGGAAAGAUAAACCACAGGAGUACUAUUAGCGAGUCACAGAUGAUAUGCCAAAGAAGUUCAAAAAAAAGAAUAUUUUACACCGGGCAUCAGGGGGUGCUUCAUAGAAUCAGUAGCGUAGAGCUGGGCUUUAAAAACAGUGAGAUAUACCAUAUGAUGGGUGAGUCAGCUCUUCUGAGAUGAGUCAGAAUUAGCAGAAAAAGGGUAUAUUAGUUCGAUUGGAGUGCAGGGUUUCUCCAAAGCAACGGAUGAACACACAAUCUGGAAGGGCUGGCCUGUAAUGUACAGUGCAUUCAGUUUCUUAUUUUUUUUUUUUUUUUUGCUCAACACAGCCCCUGGUCAUCAUCACUUUACUAUUCUAAAAGGGAGAAAAGAGACAGAGUCAGAAUACCAGCAUUAUUUUCUUGUACUCCUUUACAACAAUGAGUUCAUCCCAGGUUAUUGCAUUUCAUCUAUCUUAAAAUGCUUUUGUAAUAAUCUAGAUGCAUCUUUCAUUUUAUGACAUCCUGUAGUUAGGGAGUUCUCAGCACUGGUGAUAUUGACUCAUUGAGCUGCUAAUUCCUCCUGUGGGGUGCUCUCCUGUGUAUGGUAGGAUGAUUAGCAACAUCUUUGCCUGCACCUAAGAAAGGCCAGGAGCGCCCCCUCCAAGUUGUGAUAACCGAAAAUGUGUCUAGAUGUUGCCAAAUGUUCCUUGGAGGGCAAAAUUGCCCCAGGUAGAGAGCCACUGCUCUAAAUGUUAACAGUGUUUUCCUUUGGUACAUAAAAUAAUGGAUGACCUGACUUAAAAUUGAUUCUCAGAGUCACUAAAAUAUGGUUCUUGCUUUAAAAUCCCCAUGUGUGUCACAGUUUUUUUGUGCUUUAGUAUAUUUUCCUGUCCACUGCUAGCCCUGUGCCUUGAAUGCCCUCCUGAUACCCAGAUCUCCACGUGUUCAAAGCCUGGAGAUAGUUCAAGGCCAAGCUGAAAUGUCUGUCCCUCCUUUUCUGGUGCUUCCAGCAAAAGUAAUCCCAUGAAUUGUCAGCUCUCAGCAAACAAGGACCGUAUCUGUCUUGGUCACUGCUACAUUGACACUCAAUAAAUAAUUGUUAGAUGAACGAA
RNA transcript from Dama dama (fallow deer), 2524 nucleotides. It is a transcript of the gene named DnaJ heat shock protein family (Hsp40) member C15, with no coding region annotated. NCBI's taxonomy places the organism in Eukaryota, Metazoa, Chordata, Mammalia, Artiodactyla, Cervidae. The record is from RefSeq and is a predicted model, not a curated record. The transcript has 7 exons.